AAAAAAAACAAACCUAAAUGUAUGCUGUGCUUCAGACAAUAGUUAUAACUGAACAAAUCUUUAGACUAAUGGAUGAAUGCUAUCUUGACUAUACAGAAGAAUGAAAGAGGUACUUCAGUAAAGUAUUCAAGAAGUGUUUUGUGAAUGCACAAAAUGGAUCCCUGUGGAGAUGGAGAAUGAGAUGAAGAGAAAUCAGACUGAUUAUGCUGAAACCAGUGCUACAAAAAAGGAUGCUUGAAAGGACAAGUGAGCUGGCUGGUAGAAGAGAAGCUGACCUGCUUCAGGAGGAGCAGAACUAACAUCCCCAGGUUUCAUAUGGAUUUGUCUUCCCUCCUGUAUGUUUUCUUCCUUUUCUCCACUGCUACCUGUAUGUUUUGCUGAGUUAAAACAGCAGCACAUACGUAG
This 405-nucleotide long non-coding RNA is filed under the name Phasianus colchicus (ring-necked pheasant). RNAcentral's name for it is "lncRNA (ENSPCLG00000003095.1)". The record is from RNAcentral. Lineage: Eukaryota; Metazoa; Chordata; Aves; Galliformes; Phasianidae.